CAGAGCCUUGUGUGGCUAGAACCCAAGGCCCUCACUCCAGGGGUGCUGAGAGAGCCUGUCCAGAGGGCCUGCCUCAGCCACCACCUGGGACAGGUUCACGCCCUCCACUGAAGAGACACCCGGCCAGCCCUGGGCCUUCGACCUGGGACGUCUGUAGUGGGGUCAGGGGAUGAGACCUGGAGCUCAGAACAGACGGGCUGAGCUCCCUGGAGGAGAGAGAACUGAGAACCUUGUCCUGGCAGGGACGCUAGAGCACUGGGUGGGACAGACCUUUCUGGAAGAGCAAGAUUUUAACAGGAAGAAAAAGUGGAAGGACUUCCCAGCAGGACCCAGCCUGAACAAAGGGAGACUGGAGUUGGCCGAGCCCGAUUUGGG
This 375-nucleotide long non-coding RNA is filed under the name Homo sapiens (human). RNAcentral's name for it is "HSALNT0254207". The record is from RNAcentral. Lineage: Eukaryota; Metazoa; Chordata; Mammalia; Primates; Hominidae.